GACGAACGCUGGCGGCGUGCUUAACACAUGCAAGUCGAACGGAAAGGCCCUGCUUUUGUGGGGUGCUCGAGUGGCGAACGGGUGAGUAACACGUGAGUAACCUGCCCUUGACUUUGGGAUAACUUCAGGAAACUGGGGCUAAUACCGGAUAGGAGCUCCUGCUGCAUGGUGGGGGUUGGAAAGUUUCGGCGGUUGGGGAUGGACUCGCGGCUUAUCAGCUUGUUGGUGGGGUAGUGGCUUACCAAGGCUUUGACGGGUAGCCGGCCUGAGAGGGUGACCGGCCACAUUGGGACUGAGAUACGGCCCAGACUCCUACGGGAGGCAGCAGUGGGGAAUAUUGCACAAUGGGCGGAAGCCUGAUGCAGCAACGCCGCGUGCGGGAUGACGGCCUUCGGGUUGUAAACCGCUUUCGCCUGUGACGAAGCGUGAGUGACGGUAAUGGGUAAAGAAGCACCGGCUAACUACGUGCCAGCAGCCGCGGUGAUACGUAGGGUGCGAGCGUUGUCCGGAUUUAUUGGGCGUAAAGGGCUCGUAGGUGGUUGAUCGCGUCGGAAGUGUAAUCUUGGGGCUUAACCCUGAGCGUGCUUUCGAUACGGGUUGACUUGAGGAAGGUAGGGGAGAAUGGAAUUCCUGGUGGAGCGGUGGAAUGCGCAGAUAUCAGGAGGAACACCAGUGGCGAAGGCGGUUCUCUGGGCCUUUCCUGACGCUGAGGAGCGAAAGCGUGGGGAGCGAACAGGCUUAGAUACCCUGGUAGUCCACGCUGUAAACGGUGGGUACUAGGUGUGGGGUCCAUUCCACGGGUUCCGUGCCGUAGCUAACGCUUUAAGUACCCCGCCUGGGGAGUACGGCCGCAAGGCUAAAACUCAAAGGAAUUGACGGGGCCCCGCACAAGCGGCGGAGCAUGCGGAUUAAUUCGAUGCAACGCGUAGAACCUUACCUGGGUUUGACAUGGAUCGGGAGUGCUCAGAGAUGGGUGUGCCUCUUUUGGGGUCGGUUCACAGGUGGUGCAUGCCUGUCGUCAGCUCGUGUCGUGAGAUGUUGGGUUAAGUCCCGCAACGAGCGCAACCCUUGUUCACUGUUGCCAGCACGUUAUGGUGGGGACUCAGUGGAGACCGCCGGGGUCAACUCGGAGGAAGGUGGGGAUGACGUCAAGUCAUCAUGUCCCUUAUGUCCAGGGCUUCACGCAUGCUACAAUGGCUGGUACAGAGAGUGGCGAGCCUGUGAGGGUGAGCGAAUCUCGGAAAGCCGGUCUCAGUUCGGAUCGGGGUCUGCAACUCGACCUCAUGAAGUCGGAGUCGCUAGUAAUCGCAGAUCAGCAACGCUGCGGUGAAUACGUUCCCGGGGCU
Molecule: ribosomal RNA, 1346 nt
Filed under: uncultured bacterium
Lineage: Bacteria
Description: partial 16S ribosomal RNA
Rfam family: Bacterial small subunit ribosomal RNA
Source: RNAcentral